RNAcentral lists this non-coding RNA (64 nucleotides) under Paenalicyclobacillus macrosporangiidus. The record is from RNAcentral. Lineage: Bacteria; Bacillati; Bacillota; Bacilli; Caryophanales; Alicyclobacillaceae.
GAAAGCCGUAUGCGGGAAAACCGCACGUACGGUUUGAUGAGGAGGGGCUGGGUCCCCCAGCCCU